Molecule: ribosomal RNA, 468 nt
Filed under: uncultured bacterium
Lineage: Bacteria
Description: partial 16S ribosomal RNA
Rfam family: Bacterial small subunit ribosomal RNA
Source: RNAcentral
GACGAACGCUGGCGGCGUGCUUAACACAUGCAAGUCGAACGGAAAGGCCCUGCUUUUGUGGGGUGCUCGAGUGGCGAACGGGUGAGUAACACGUGAGUAACCUGCCCUUGACUUUGGGAUAACUUCAGGAAACUGGGGCUAAUACCGGAUAGGAGCUCCUGCUGCAUGGUGGGGGUUGGAAAGUUUCGGCGGUUGGGGAUGGACUCGCGGCUUAUCAGCUUGUUGGUGGGGUAGUGGCUUACCAAGGCUUUGACGGGUAGCCGGCCUGAGAGGGUGACCGGCCAAAUUGGGACGGAGAUCAGGCCCAGACUCCUACGGGAGGCAGCAGUGGGGAAUAUUGCACAAUGGGCGGAAGCCUGAUGCAGCAACGCCGCGUGCGGGAUGACGGCCUUCGGGUUGUAAACCGCUUUCGCCUGUGACGAAGCGUGAGUGACGGUAAUGGGUAAAGAAGCACCGGCUAACUACGUG